This 1039-nucleotide ribosomal RNA is filed under the name uncultured bacterium. Its description in RNAcentral is "bacterial SSU rRNA". It matches the Rfam family "Archaeal small subunit ribosomal RNA", at positions 1 to 1026 of the family's 1478-position model. The record is from RNAcentral.
UUCCGGUUGAUCCCGCCGGACCUGACUGCUAUCGGAUUGAUAUUAAGCCAUGCGAGUCAUUGUAGCAAUACAAGGCAGACGGCUCAGUAACGCGUAGUCAACCUAACCUAUGGACGGGAAUAACCUCGGGAAACUGAGAAUAAUGCCCGAUAGAACACUAUACCUGGAAUGGGUUGUGUUCCAAAUGAUUUAUCGCCGUAGGAUGGGACUGCGGCCUAUCAGUUUGUUGGUGAGGUAAUGGCCCACCAAGACUAUUACAGGUACGGGCUCUGAGAGGAGUAGCCCGGAGAUGGGUACUGAGACACGGACCCAGGCCCUAUGGGGCGCAGCAGGCGAGAAAACUUUGCAAUGUGCGAAAGCACGACAAGGUUAAUCCGAGUGGUUUCUGCUGAAGGAACCUUUUGUCAGUCCUAGAAACGCUGAUGAAUAAGGGGUGGGCAAGUUCUGGUGUCAGCCGCCGCGGUAAAACCAGCACCUCAAGUGGUCAGGAUGAUUAUUGGGGGCCCUAAAGCAUCCNGUNAGCCGNGAUCUGUAAGUUUUCGGUUAAAUCUUGUACGCUCAACGUACAGGCUGCCGGGAAUACUGCAGAUCUAGGGAGUGGGAGAGGUAGACGGUACUCGGUAGGAAGGGGUAAAAUCCUUUGAUCUAUUGAUGACCACCUGUGGCGAAGGCGGUCUACCAGAACACGUCCGACGGUGAGGGAUGAAAGCUGGGGGAGCAAACCGGAUUAGAUACCCGGGUAGUCCCAGCUGGAAACUAUGCAAACUCAGUGAUGCAUUGGCUUGAGGCCAAUGCAGUGUUGCAGGGAAGCCGUUAAGUUUGCCGCCUGGGAAGUACGUACGCAAGUAUGAAACUUAAAGGAAUUGGCGGGGGAGCACCACAAGGGGUGAAGCCUGCGGUUCAAUUGGAUUCAACGCCGGGAAGCCGAAUUCUGCAGAUAUCCAUCACACUGGCGGCCGCUCGAGCAUGCAUCUAGAGGGCCCAAUUCGCCCUAUAGUGAGUCGUAUUACAAUUCACUGGCCGUCGUUUUACAACGUCG